AUGUUUGCUUCUACAUCAAGGUCUCGCAUCAACAACCUUCGUCUCAGUUUGAUGAACGCACAGAAGGAAAAUCAAUCUGCAGCCACCUACUUCGGCCACAUGAGGUCUCUUGCGGAUGAACUCGCCAUGGCCGGAGAACCCAUCACCGAUGGGCAGCUACUCUCCUUCAUCAUCGUCGGCCUAGAUAUGGACUACCAACCCAUUAUUUCAGCCCUGGACGUCCGCACCGAUCAAGCCUCCGUCGACGAUAUCUUCUCUAUGGUGAGCAACUUCGACCAGCGUGUUGAACUUUUUCAU
This 297-nucleotide ribosomal RNA is filed under the name Triticum aestivum (bread wheat). RNAcentral describes it as "partial small subunit ribosomal RNA". Lineage: Eukaryota; Viridiplantae; Streptophyta; Magnoliopsida; Poales; Poaceae. The record is from RNAcentral.